RNAcentral lists this long non-coding RNA (425 nucleotides) under Homo sapiens (human). RNAcentral's name for it is "non-protein coding lnc-SERGEF-1:9". The record is from RNAcentral. Lineage: Eukaryota; Metazoa; Chordata; Mammalia; Primates; Hominidae.
AUUUGUAAAAUCGACAUCAUGAUACCCACUCCCAGAAGUUGUUCUUCCCAAUGGCAUAGGUGGAGUGUGUUACUCUUGGGGCUGGAAUGAGCAUGGCAUGUGCGGAGAUGGCACUGAAGCCAACGUCUGGGCCCCAAAGCCGGUGCAGGCUCUGCUGUCAUCGUCAGGACUCCUUGUGGGCUGUGGGGCUGGCCACUCCUUGGCCCUCUGCCAGCUGCCAGCUCACCCUGCAUUGGUCCAGGACCCCAAGGUCACCUACCUUUCCCCAGAUGCCAUCGAGGACACUGAAUCUCAGAAAGCCAUGGACAAAGAGAGAAACUGGAAGGAAAGACAAUCAGAAACUUCAACCCAAAGCCAAUCUGACUGGUCCAGAAAUGGGGGACUGUGAUAGAGAAUCUUUAAUAAAGUGGCUUUUCCCACCAAAA